Molecule: ribosomal RNA, 143 nt
Filed under: uncultured eukaryote
Lineage: Eukaryota
Description: partial 18S ribosomal RNA
Rfam family: Eukaryotic small subunit ribosomal RNA
Source: RNAcentral
UGGUGGAGUGAUUUGUCUGGUUAAUUCCGUUAACGAACGAGACCUCGACCUGCUAAAUAGUUUGGCGAAUUCCCUGUGGAUUCGCACAUAACCUCUUAGAGGGACUAUCGGUUCGCAGCCGGUGGAAGUUCGAGGCAAUAACA